Molecule: long non-coding RNA, 13642 nt
Filed under: Brassica napus (rape)
Lineage: Eukaryota; Viridiplantae; Streptophyta; Magnoliopsida; Brassicales; Brassicaceae
Description: long non-coding RNA (BNAP_LNC010094)
Rfam family: Eukaryotic small subunit ribosomal RNA (bases 12490-13642)
Source: RNAcentral
ACAGGUCUGGGUAAUCUUUGAAAUUUCAUCGUGAUGGGGAUAGAUCAUUGCAAUUGUUGGUCUUCAACGAGGAAUUCCUAGUAAGCGCGAGUCAUCAGCUCGCGUUGACUACGUCCCUACCCUUUGUACACACCGCCCGUCGCUCCUACCGAUUGAAUGAUCCGGUGAAGUGUUCGGAUCACGGCGACGUGGGUUGUUCGCCGUCUGCGACGUCGCGAGAAGUCCACUAAACCUUAUCAUUUAGAGGAAGGAGAAGUCGUAACAAGGUUUCCGUAGGUGAACCUGCUUGAGAACAAGUACUAAGUUUUGAAAUAAACCUCUAUGAACAUUCAUAAAUAUUUAAUAAUAUAAUAUAUCAGUACUUGAGAACAAGUACUAAGGUUUGAAAUAAACCUCUAUGAACAUUCAUAAAUAUUUAUUACGUGUGUGUAAACACCUCACCAAUUCAAUAUUUGAUCAAGAGACAAAGCCUAUCAAUCAUCUACAUUUUCAAUCAUGCACCACUAAUUUAUAACUCUUUAAUCAUCUAUCUAGACUCACCUUUAAAUCCAUGAGAUUGGCUAAGGAAGACUAUACUCGAGCUCAAGCUAAUCACACUCGACUUCUGGAAUAUUCUCGAUUUACAACCACCACAAGGAUCCGGCUGAUCCGAACACUAUCCUUGACCAUCUGUACCAAUAACAGAACGGUUGGAAAAAAGGUUAAUCAGUCCGGUUCAACCUCACAGUUCAAGAUGCAGGACAGCUACAAAGGCAAGUUCAAGGCAGCUUCAUUUCGGUUCAAACAUAAAUCAUUUCAGUUAAGUUGUCUAGAUGCUAGGGGACCAAGAACUGAAAUAAUAUAAAUCCACACAAGGGAUUAAGAAAUUAAUCCAGAGAGGAAGAACAACAACUCAGCCAGCUGGUUGUAAUCUAAACUGAUAUGGAUCAAAAGGCAAAACAGUUUACCGGUUCAAAUCAAACACUGUCUGAACUUAACUGAUACUCCACCUUAAGAUAAAGCCACGCCAAACCUGAUCAGUAUCACAUCAAGAAAAGGUCGGAAUCAAUCAGAACAAAGCUGAAUCACAGUCAAUGCAACAGAAAUGCUCACAUAAAACUGAUCCACACAACAACUUACAUCUUUACCGAUUAAAAUCAAAGGCUGAAGAACAUGGGUGAUUCUCAACUUCAGGACACCAAAUCUCCAACUCUUUACCACACAAAUACUCACUGACUAAAGUCACAAGAUGGUGAGAAAGGGUCGUCCAAGCUCACUUCUCUUCCCUGAUUUUUUUUCUGAAUUUUUCAACCAAUUUUUCUAACAGAUUAUUCUCUCUUCUUUCUCUCUUUCUCUCUGAACUUUUCUCUGGUUUUCUAUCUGUUUCAGGACGUCCAGAGGAUAGAAGAGGGUAUUUUAUAUCAUAAGGAGUUGCUUCAGAUGAGGGUUUGCUCACACAAAAGACAAAGAUGAGGUUAGACAGCUGGUGACAUGCUUCAGCACACCAAGCAGCACAAGCAGCUGAACAUUUCCCUUCCAUGAAGAAAGAUACAAGCAGCUGAAGCAAACAGCUUGUGACCAGCAUGUGACUUCUAAUGAGCAAGCAGGUAAGCAAGUAGGUGCAUGUCAUGUGACCUAAUUACAGAGGAAGCAAGUAGGCUAGAAGGUGCAAGGCAUGUGACUAUUCAGAAAUAAUUUUAAGAGUUUUGUCGAUAUUUUUUUGGACGGUUUUGACUAAAUAUUUUUCAUCCUUCGAAUCUCGUCCUUCUCGGAAUAAACUCGCCCAGAAUGAAUAAAAAUCGACAAGAAUAAUUAACACUCGCCCAGAACCAUCAAGAGAUAGUCUUUCGACCAAAAGACAGCCCCGUAGAGAGAUUAAUUCACCGUAUCGAUUUUUAUUUAAAUUCUGAUCGACCAAUCUUCAAACUGAUCUUAAAGAAUUUUCUCCACCAAAAUUCUAUCUGCUCGUGAUGGUUAUUACACGGACAGCCACGGACGUCCUGUGUGUGCUGACGGACACACACGGACGUCAUGUGUGUGCUGACGGACACCCACGGACGUCCUGUGUGUACUGAACAGACAGCCUACGUGGGCCAAAAUCACCCGAACAGUCCACGGGAAGGGACAGCGUGCUGAGUCCAAGGACCAACGUGCUGAUAUGUGUACUGAUGGACAGCCACGGACGUCCUGUGUGUGCUGACGGACACACACGGACACACACGGACAGCCAUGGACGUCCUGUGUGUGCUGACGGACACCCACGGACGUCCUGUGUGUGCUGAUGGACACCCACGGACGUCCUGUGUGUACUGAACAGACAGCCCACGUGGGCCAAAAUCACCCGAACAGUCCACUAGAAGGGCCAGCGUGCUGAUAUGUGUACUGAUGGACAGCCACAUACGUCCUGUGUGUGCUGACGGACGCACACGAAUAGCCACAGACAGCCACGGACGUCCUGUGUGUGCUGACGGACAGCCACGGACGUCCUGUGUGUGCUGGCAGACAUUCACGGACGUCCUGUGUGUACUGAACAGACAGCCCACGUGGGCCAAAAUCACCCAAACAGUCCACGGGAAGGGCCAGCGUCCUGAGUCCAAGGACCAACGUGCUGAUAUGUGUACUGAUGAACAGCCACAUACGACCUGUGUGUGCUGACGGACACAGACGUACACACACGGACACACAUGGACAGCCACGGAUGUCAUGUGUGUGCUGGCGGACUAGACGUUCUGUGUGUGCUGACGGACACACACGGACACACACGGACAGGCACGGACGUCCUGUGUGUUCUGACGGACACACACGGACGUCCUGUGUGUUCUGACGGACACACACAGACGACCUGUGUGUACUGAACAGACAGCCCACGUGGGCCAAAAAUCACCCACGGACAGCCAAAAUCACCCGAGAAGCCAAAAAUUCAAAAGGUAAUAUUUUUGAAUAAAGUUUUCGAAAGGAAACAUCAAAAAUAUGUCAACAAAGAGUUUAGGAUGUCAAGUGUUGAUCAAAAGUUGCUGUAGACAUCCGUUUAGACCACGAAACCCCGAACUUUGUAGCAUACAAAAGACAUGGUUAGAAGCAAAAGAAAAUCAUGAAAAUGUACCAGAAAAUAGCUUUAACCAUUCUUAUGAAGCAUGCAAAAAAUCAGAUUCAAAUUCGAAGUAUUUUCUUUUUUACAUUAAAAAUACUCCCGGAACACAACCAAUGUCUACUGGUGACAAAUUGAAAAAAAAAGUGUUUUGUCUAUAUAAGGGGUACGCACUCUUCUGAGCCUACCCUCAGUACCCGAAGGGGUAUGUAGUGGUGGACUGCUCGGUCCAACACUAUCGAUGGCUGGGUUGAGGUCGAUGGCCGGAUUGUCUCCGGUGAAUUUUCUGGUAACUUUUUCGGCAAAUUUUCCAGCGGACCGUUUUGCCCCUAACUUCAAAUUUUCUUGCUUGUGUGGUCUUGGUCUGGUUUCAUCCGUCUUCCAGUUGCUCUUUUGAUUACAUCUCAAGAGUGGUUGGAAAGAUUGAUGUUAGCGGGACAAAUGAACUUUCGGCGUAUGAGUGGUGAUUGGAUAGCUAGUGUUUGUAGGCUCUGUGCUCGCGCACCCAACUACAGACCAACUAUCCUCCUUAGUUUCUUCACUAGCAUAGUUUUAUGCUUGUUGAACUGAUCCGGGGCAUGUGUUGCGUACCCUUAUGCUUGUUGAACUGUUCCGGGGCCUGUGGUGCGUACCUAACUGGAAGGAAUUGUUAAGCUAUGCUUAAAAUGUUGUUUGCGGCAUCUCCUUCAGUGGGGAAGUCGUGAACACAUUAGCCGGCACUUGUGAUCCUUGCGUCUUUGCAUAGUUUAUGCAUUGUUCGCAAAGGUGAAUAAGCUGUUUGCUGAGAUCUCGGUUGCGGAAAUAUUAUGGCGGUGACUCGAAGAAAUUCUGUCCCGCUAAGCAUGUUUGUCUCUGGACAAAAGAUGACGGUUAAGUCUGCGUCUGUUCCCACUUUCCAUGUGUUUGCGGGAAUAUGACGUGGUCUUGCCCUGAUUUAUGAAUGCUACCUGGUUGAUCCUGCCAGUAGUCAUAUGCUUGUCUCAAAUAUUAAGCCAUGCAUGUGUAAGUAUGAACGAAUUCAGACUGUGAAACUGCGAAUGGCUCAUUAAAUCAGUUAUAGUUUGUUUGAUGGUAACUACUACUCGGAUAAUCGUAGUAAUUCUAGAGCUAAUACGUGCAACAAAACCCGACUUCUGGAAGAGAUGCAUUUAUUAGAUAAAAGGUCGACGCGGGCUCUGCCCGUUGCUCUGAUGAUUCAUGAUAACUCGACGGAUCGCAUGGCCUUAUUGCUGGCGACGCAUCAUUCAAAUUUCUGCCCUAUCAACUUUCGAUGGUAGGAUAGUGGCCUACCAUGGUGGUAACGGGUGACGGAGAAUUAAGGUUCGAUUACGGAGAGGGAGCCUGAGAAACGGCUACCACAUCCAAGGAAGGCAGCAGGUGCGCAAAUUACCCAAUCCUGACACGGGGAGUUAGUGACAAUAAAUAACAAUACCGGACACUUUGAGUCUGGUAAUUGGAAUGAGUACAAUCUAAAUCCCUUAACGAGGAUCCAUUAGAGGGCAAGUCUGGUGCCAGCAGCCGCGGUAAUUCCAGCUCCAAUAGCGUAUAGUUAAGUUGUUGCAGUUUAAAAGCUCGUAGUUGAACCUUGGGAUGGGUCGCCCGGUCUGCCUUCGGUGAGCACCGGUCGGCUUGUCUCUUCUGUCGGCGAUAUGCUCCUGGCCUUAACUUGCCGGGUCGUGCCUCCGGCGCUGUUACUUUGAAGAAAUUAGAGUGCUCAAAGCAAGCCUACGCUCUGUAUACAUUAGCAUGGGAUAACAUCAUAGGAUUUCGAUCAAUUUCUGUUGGCCUUCGGGAUUGGAGUAAUGAUUAACAGGGACAGUCGGUGUAAUAACCCUCACGAGCAGAUAGAAUAUUGGUCGAGAAGAUUCUUUAAGAUCAGUUUGAAGAUUGAUCGAUCAGAAUUUAAAUAAAAAUUGACACGGUGAAUUAAUCUCUCGACGGGCUGUCUUUUGGUCGAAAAACCAUCUCUUGAUGGUUCUGGUCGAGUGUUAAUUAUUAUUGUCUAUUUUAAUUCAUGCUGGGCGAGUUUAUUCAGAGCAGGAUGAGAUUCGAAUAAUGAAAAAUAUAUAGUCGAAACAGUCCGAAAAAUAUCGACAAAACUCUUAAAAUUAUUUCUGAACAGCCACAUGCCUUGCACCUUCUAGCCUACUUACUUCCUCAGUAAUUAGAUCACAUGACAUGCACCUACUUGCUUACCUGCUUGCUAAUUAGAAGUCACAUGCUUGUCACAAGCUGUUUGCUUCAGCUGCUCGCAGCUUUCUUCUUGUAAAGGAAAGGUGAGCUGCUUGUGCUGAAGCUGGUUGCCACAUGUUUCUCCAAACUACUACUUUGUGUAAAUAGAAAACCCUAAGCUGAAGCAACCCCAUAUGGUAUAAAACAUCUUCUUCUCUCCUCUGGACGUCCUGUUACUGCAAGAAAAACCAGAGAAAAAUUCAGAGAGAAAGAGAGAAAGAAGAGAGAAAAAUCUGUGAGAAAAAUUAGUUGAAAAAUUCAGAAAAAAAAUCAGAGAAGAGAAUUGAGCAUGGACGAACCUUUCUAACCAUCCUGUGACUUUAAUAAGUGUGUUCUGGUGUGGUUAAGAGCUGAAGAUUUGGUGUCCAAGAGUUUAGAAUCACCCAAGUUCUUUAGCCUUGGAUUUUAUCAGUAAGAACAUAUGGGUUUGAUGAGAUCAGUUUUGCUUGAGCUUCAGUUCUUGUUAGGUAACCAAAAAGAUUUGGUCUGUUUAUGAUCUUGAACCUAUAAUGGGUAUCUUGUCCUGAUCAGGUUAGACGUUUGUUCAGAUUGAAGUUUAUAUUGACCAAGUUCAUCUUAAACCUUGAGGAAAUCGGUAAGCCAUAGCUACUAGUUCAGAGAAGUUUUGUUUGGAACAAGUGGACUGAUUUGUUAAGCUUCCUGUCCAGAUUAGUUCUUAAACCUGUAUGUGGAUUGAUCUUGGUUCAGUUAUGUCUCUGAGAUAUUUUUUUUUUAAAGGCUUAGCUGAACUGAAUUAUCCUUCAACCAAACUGAACUGCUUUGAACUAAGCUGAGUAGAGUUUCUGUUGGAAUCAACCUGACUGAUCUCUUAAUCAGGAGUGAAAUGGAGUGUUGUUAGUUGAGCUCGAGUCUAGUCUUCCCUAGCCAAUCUCAUGGAAUCAAAGGUGAGUCUAGAUAGAUGAUUGAUGAGUAGUGAAUGAAUAUUUCUUGAUUGAACGUACUGAUUGUAGAUGAUUGAUAGGCUUUGUCUCUUGAUCAAUAUUUAAUUGGUGGGGUGUUUACUUAGAGUUUUGUCUCCUGAUCAAUAUUGAAUUAGUAAGGUGUUUACUUAGUGUAAACACUUAUUAAAUAUUUAUGAAUGAUCAUAGAGGUUUAUUCCAAACCUUAGUACUUGUUCUCAAGUACUAAUACAUAUGUAUAGUAUUAAAUAUAAUUAAGUAUGGAAGUAUUAAUCAUGUGAAGUCUUAUUAUAAACCUGUCUUCCAAAAUAUUCCCGUAUGAAUGACGAUUACCGUGAAUUGGUCCUGCGAUAUGGAACAAGGUCACGAAGACAUGAUGAUGGGGUCGCACCCUGGAGGCCGUGUAACUGCAUGCAGCGUUAGAUGUUCAAUUUUUGAAUAUCUGAUGGCGAUGAUGGUGACGCUAACUCGCUAGACUCGUUUAGCCUUUGUGGUUUCUUGGGUCUGGUAUAUAUAUAUAUAUAAAUAUGAAUAUAUGAAUGAUAUGAGAGACGGGAAUAGGAAGUGAGGUAUAUGAUUAGAUUCACAAUGAUGGAAGGAUAGACCUUAUAUCUGUAUUUUUAUUAGUUAUGGAAUAUAUUUCCACUGCAUACAAAUGGAGUUGAUUGCUUGAGAUAUUAUUAAUAUAUGUUGGGGUGCGGGACUAGGCUCACUGAGUAAACUAGUUACUCAUGACAUUUGUGAUGCAGGUAAUUAAUUGGCGGGUGACCUUACUCUAGGACGGGAAAGAAAAUCAUUAGCCAGCGGUAGUUUUAUUAUCCUUGCAAAGUCAUUUUGAUAUAUCUUAUGUAUAAGAUUUGUAGACCGAAAACCUCUACGUUAAAUUAUAACAGAUUUUGUAAGAUGCUUUUAAAUGAUAUAUAUAAAGAUUUUUUUUAAAGUAUAGGUUCCAUAUGAUAUUAGUCCUUGUCCGGACGAACUAACUAUCAGAUAUUUCUUUUUCUGGUUGAAAAGCCUAGAGUGAUAUUCGAUUGGAGUGUUGGUGUUCUUUGGUUGUUGGUCUAAGGUGAUCGGAGGUAUUCUGAGAACUUCGGAUCGACCAUCAAGGAACAUCGACCGUGUCAUUUCCGGUCAACUACGAUCGGGGGUGUCACAAAGGUGGUAUCAGAGCAUGGUUAUACGAUGCUAGAAUGGGACUUGUUUCAAAUGUUUUCAAGUCAAAAUGAGUCGCAAGGAUAACUAGGAUAUGCUGGCUUGUUCCUUUAUUUUAGGAUAGAUAGUCAUGGGUAGUUACCUAACCGUGAUCUUUCAUAGCAGAAGCACCGAGACAAGAUUGAAUGGGGGGACCGUUCUUACCGAUGUUAAUAUCAUUAUGCUCGAGUUUGUUACCCUCAUGGUCGGGUUCACUACCGUCCUGUUAGGAGUCAGUAACCUCAUGUCUUCUUGCCGUUCUUUUGAGUUCUAGUGGGGGAUUCCAAUUCUUUAGAGAGAUAUAUCGGACAGAGUUGAUACAUCAAAAAUAUCUCCGGACUCGUGUAUUAUCAAUGUCAAGCUUAUGCUGAGACGUACAAGCACUAGAGCCGUACAAGCCAAAUUGUUAUGUAUUUGUUUCAAGCUUAUCAUUGGACAAAGAGAUGGUUUGAUUGUAUUACAAGAUGAUGAAAGCACCAGAAGCAUUCUGUUUGCAAAUGAGACAUCAUGAAGGUUAUGAUGCAAAGAAGAAGAAGUUGAGACCACAAGAUACUGAAGAAGGAUUAAACCGUUCGAAGUUGGCUUGAGGCAGAUUUGGGAUCCAACACUUAGAGCAUAAUAUUGAUGUACCCGGUGUUUAGAGAAUAACAAGAAGGAUUUGGCAGCAAGCUAUUUGGAGAAGAACGCUAUGAGUUGUUGGUCGAGAGUCAAGAAUUACUUCAGAGAGUUGUGAUCCCGUUGGACAGAUUUCAAGAGUUCAAGAAGUAGUUUUUUCUACACAUGGUAUGGGACCGAUUGAAGAUUCAGUUUACGGAGUUGGUACACUAAGAUGUUUCUGCCAGGAGGUUCAGGCCGAGUUAAUCAUAUACAAAAAUUUCAGCAUCGAGAUAUGUGGUCGGGUGAAUCUGAUUCAUUAAUUAUACUCUGGAGAAUAAGCCAAAGAUCAGACAGAAAAUCUUUGGGAACUUAGCCAAGAAUUUUGCAGUAGUUAAAAGACCAUGGAAGUUUAGAGCUCCAAGGAGAUGCUAGAGUAUGACAUGAAUAUUAAAGAAGUUACUGAUGAAGAAGUUCACCAAAUCCUACAGAUCGUUUCAUUUCCAACCAGAGAAGAUCGAAGUUCAGUUUCAAGCAGUGGAUUAAGUCGCUGGGAUGAUUUUGGUUGUACAUUUCAUCAGAUCAAGAUUGAGGACCUUGAGCCGUUAUGGUUGUGACUAGCAAAGACAGAAUGGUCGUGAUUGUCAAAGUUUGGGAAAUCCUGGAACGUUUGCAUCAUUCGCGCUUUGGUGGUUCUUGUGAAGAGUUAGGAUUUUAGGUUACCCGUCCUCAUGAAGUUAUCCGAUCUACGUUACCUAUACCUAAGAUAACAUUUGUUGAACUUGUCCGCUUUUCCUUACCAUUAGUCUUGAUCCAAGUGUUAGGCUAUUUGGGUAGAGCCUACACUUUAUGGUUGUCUGGACCGUCAAAACCUCUGAAAGGUCCAAUCACAGGUUUGCUUCUUAUCCCAUUGUGUGUUGUGUGCAUUUUUAAAAUUUUAUGAAUGGUUGAAAUAAAAAAAAAUUAUGUGAAUUUUGAUCAAGGUGUCGUAAGAGACCUUGCCUAUGGAUGGAAUUCUCCGCCCAUAUUGUGUUUGAUUCGGGAACAACACAUGGUUGUAGUUCCUGAGCGAUGUCAUAGUAUUAGAGAGGAUUCACUUUUGUGAAUUUAAGUCUACCGUUCUUAUUUGGAAGUACGGCUGCCAGUUAAAGUUAUGGUAUGCCUUUCCCAUUCCAUUGUACUUCCGUUAGAGCGGUAUCUUUCUAUCUAGAAUGAGAUUGUCUAUCUAGUUACCGAGCUCAAUUAGGAUAUUAAGGAAAUAAGUCUUUUGAAGAGGACCAGUUAUUGUUGGCCUACAAUGGUAUUCUACCAAGUGUUCGAGUAUCACUCAAAUCAGACUGGCGUGUUCAAGAACUUUUGGGAAAAUGUGAAGAAGUGUACUCUAGUAACUUGAUCGUUUAAAAAGUAAAAGAUGAAAAGGAGCAGAGUAAAAGACAGUCUGAUAAUCAGGGAAGAUGAAGAUGUGUUUAAGGCAUUGAAAGGAUGGUCCACAUCUAAAAAAAAGUAACAUGUUCAGUAUUCUUGUUGAACCUGGAUUCACUGCAAUAGCCUAGGGAUUUCACCAGGUGGUUCUUGUCGAGUUCUAGUAGUAGUUAGAAGAUUAUGAAGAGUGUUUCAGAUAGAUCAGAAGUGUAAAGAAUACUGUAAGUGAAAUCAUCCUUGGAAUGGGUGAGUGUGUUUAUUUGAGAGUAGCACCCCUGGUCCGAAUCAUGUUGGCGUGAUUGAUCGUGCAUGUUCUUGUUUGAUUGUUGCACGGUUAAUCAAGUUAACAUUGACCAGACUGGAGAUGUUACAUUCACGUAUGGCACAUCACUCACGUUCUAAAUUUCAUGUUGUUGUUAUGGGGGAGAGCAAGAGAGAAAAGGUUGAGAAGUGAUACUCUACAGAUACAAGAUUGUUAGAAAAAGUAUGCAGACCGCAGUUGACAGGAAUUGUGCGGAGUAAAGAAUUUGGUUAUCUUGAAAGUGGCUGCUCAGAAAAGAAAGGAUCGGUUGGGGGAAACAAGGGAUCGACCAUGAGUUGUUUUGAUAUGGGCAGAUUAAGAUAAGGUCAAAUCUAAUAUCCAGAACUCCUUUCAUAGACUGUUCAGUAAAGAGUGUACAACCACGUUUUUAGAAUUCGGGGACGAAUUAUUUUGAGGGGGGAAGAAUGUAAUAACCCUCACGAGCAGAUAGAAUAUUGGCCGAGAAAAUUGUUUAAGAUCAGGUUGAAGAUUGAUCGAUCAUAAUUUAAAUAAAAAUCGACACGGUGAAUUAAUCUCUCGACGGGCUGUCUUUUGGUCAAAAAACCAUCUCUUGAUGGUUCUGGUCGAGUGUUAAUUAUUAUUGUCGAUUUUUAUUCAUGCUGGGCGAGUUUAUUCAGAGUAGGAUGAGAUUCGAAUGAUGAAAAAUAUUUAGUCGAAACAGUCCGAAAAAUAUCGACAAAACUUUUAAAAUUAUUUCUGAACAGUCACAUGCCUUGCACCUUCUAGCCUACUUGCUUCCUCAGUAAUUAGGUCACAUGACAUGCACAUACUUGCUUACCUGCUUGCUCAUUAGAAGUCACAUGCUUGUCACAAGCUGUUUGCUUCAGCUGCUUGCAGCUUUCUUCUUGUAAAGCAAAGGUGAGCUGCUUGUGCUGAUGCUGGUUGCCACAUGUUUCUCCAAACUACCACUUUGUGUAAAGAGAAAAACCUGAGCUGAAGCAACCCCAUAUGGUAUAAAACAUCUUCUUCUCUCCUCUGGACGUCCUGUUACUGCAAGAAAAACCAGAGAAAAAUUCAGAGAGAAAGAGAGAAAGAAGAGAGAAAAAUCUGUGAGAAAAAUUAGUUGAAAAAUUCAGAAAAAAAAAUCAGAGAAGAGAAUUGAGCAUGGACGAACCUCUCUCACCAUCCUGUGACUUUAAUCAGUGUGUUCUGGUGUGGUUAAGAGAUGAAGAUUUGGUGUCCAAGAGUUUAGAAUCACCCAAGUUCUUUAGCCUUGGAUUUUAUCGGUAAGAACAUAUGGGUUUGAUGAGAUCAGUUUUGCUUGAGCUUCAGUUCUUGUUAGGUAACCACAACGAUUUGGUCUGUUUCUGAUCUUGAACCUAUCAUGAGUAUCUUGUCCUGAUCAGGUUAGACGUGUGUUCAGAUUGAAGUUUAUAUCAACCAAGUUCAUCUUAAACCUUGAGGAAAUCGGUAAGCCAUAGCUACUAGUUCAGAGAAGUUUUGUUUGGAACAAGUGGACUGAUUUGUUAAGCUUCGUGUCCAGAUUAGUUCUUAAACCUGUAUGUGGAUUGAUUUUGGCUCAGUUAUGUCUCUUAGAUAUUUUUUUUUAAAGGCUUAGGUGAGCUGAAUUAUCCUUCAACCAAACUGAACUGCUUUGAACUAAGCUGAGUAGAGUUUCUGUUGGAAUCAACCUGACUGAUAUUGUAUCCACACAUUCUGAAUCAGGAGUGAAAUGGAGUAUUAUUAGUUGAGCUCGAGUCUAGUCUUCCCUAGCCAAUCUCAUGGAAUCAAAGGUGAGUCUAGAUAGAUGAUUGAUGAGUAGUGAAUGAAUAUUUCUUGAUUGAACGUACUGAUUGUAGAUGAUUGAUAGGCUUUGUCUCCUGAUCAAUAUUGAAUUAGUAAGGUGUUUACUUAGUGUAAACACUUAUUAAAGAAUGGGUAAGGUGUUUACUUAGUGUAAACACUUAUUAAAUAUUUAUGAAUGAUCAUAGUGGUCUAUUCCAAACCUUAGUACUUGUUCUCAAGUACUAAUACAUAUGUAUAGUAUUAAAUAUAAUUAAGUAUGGAAGUAUUAAUCAUGUGAAGUCUUAUUAUAAACCUGUCUUCCAAAAUAUUCCCGUAUGAAUGAUGAUUACCGUGAAUUGGUCCUGCGAUAUGGAACAAGGUCACGAAGACACGAUGAUGGGGUCGCACCCUGGAAGCCGUGUAACUGCAUGCAGCGUUAGAUGUUCAAUUUUUGAAUAUCUGAUGGCGAUGAUGGUGAUGCUAACUCGCUAGACUCGUUUAGCCUUUGUGGUUUCUCGGGUCUGGUAUAUAUAUAUAUAUGAUUAUAUGAAUGAUAUGAGAGACGGGAAUAUGAAGUGAGGUAUAUGAUUAGAUUCACAAUGAUGGAAGGAUAGACCUUAUAUAUGUAUUUUUAUUAGUUAUGGAAUAUAUUUCCACUGCAUACAAAUGGAGUUGAUUGCUUGAGAUAUUAUUAAUAUAUGUUGGGGUGCGGGACUAGGCUCACUGAGUAAACUAGUUACUCAUGACAUUUGUGAUGCAGGUAAUUAAUUGGCGGGAAGUAAACUAGUUACUCAUGACUCAUUUGUGAUGCAGGUAACUAAUACGCGGGUGACCUUACUCUAGGACGGGAAGGAACAGCAUUAGCCAGCGGUAGUUUUAUUAUCCUUGCAAAGUCAUUUUGAUAUAUCUUAUGUAUAAGAUUUGUAGACCGAAAACCUCUACGUUAAAUUAUAACAGAUUUUGUAAGAUGCUUUUAAAUGAUAUAUAUAAAGAUUUUUUUUAAAGUAUAGGUUCCAUAUGAAAAACAAAUUUGGUAAGAUGCUUUUAAAUGAUAUAUAUAAUUUUUUUUUUAAAGUAUAGGUUCCAUAUGAUAUUAGUCCUUGUCCGGACAACUAACUAUCGGAUAUUUCUUUUUCGGGUUGAAAAGCCUAGAGUGAUAUUCGACAGGAACGUUGGUGUUCUUUGGUUGUUGGUCUAAGGUGAUCGGAGGUAUUCUGAGAACUUCGGAUCGACCAUCAAGGAACAUCGACCGUGUCAUUUCCGGUCAACUACGAUCGGGGGUGUCACAGUCGGGGGCAUUCGUAUUUCAUAGUCAGAGGUGAAAUUGUUGGAUUUAUGAAAGACGAACAACUGCAAAAGAAUUUGCCAAGGAUGUUUUCAUUAAUCAAGAACGAAAGUUGGGGGCUCGAAGACGAUCAGAUACUGUCCUAGUCUCAACCAAAAACGAUGCCGACCAGGGAUCAGCGGAUGUUGCUUUUAGGACUCCGCUGGCACCUUAUGAGAAAUCAAAGUUUUUUGGUUCCGGGGGGAGUAUGGUCGCAAGGCUGAAACUUAAAGGAAUUGACGGAAGGGCACCACCAGGAGUGGAGCCUGCGGCUUAAUUUGACUCAACACGGGGAAACUUACCAGGUCCAGACAUAGUAAGGAUUGACAGACUGAGAGCUCUUUCUUGAUUCUAUGGGUGGUGGUGCAUGGCAGUUCUUAGUUGGUGGAGCGAUUUGUCUGGUUAAUUCCGUUAACGAACGAGACCUCAGCCUGCUAACUAGCUACGUGGAGGAAUCCCUUCACGGUCGGCUUCUUAGAGGGACUAUGGCUGUUUAGGCCAAGGAAGUUUGAGGCAAUAACAGGUAUGUGAUGCCUUUAGAUGUUCUGGGCCGCACGCGCACUACACUGAUUUAUUCAACGAGCUCACACCUUGGCCGACAGGCCCGGGUAAUCUUUGAAAUUUCACAGUGAUGGGGAUAGAUCAUUGCAAUUGUUGUCUUCAACGAGGAAUUCCUAGUAAGCGCGAGUCAUCAGCUCGCGUUGACUACGUCCCUACCCUAUGUACACACCGCCCGUCGCUCCUACCGAUUGAAUGAUCCGGUGAAGUGUUUGGAUCGCGGUGACGUGGGUGGUUUGCCGUCUGCAACGUCGCGAGAAAGUCCACUAAACCUUAUCAUUUAGAGG